This is a long non-coding RNA of Magnolia sinica, 664 nucleotides long. RefSeq lists it as uncharacterized. NCBI's taxonomy places the organism in Eukaryota, Viridiplantae, Streptophyta, Magnoliopsida, Magnoliales, Magnoliaceae. The transcript has 4 exons. The record is from RefSeq and is a predicted model, not a curated record.
CCAUCUCAUCUCCCUUUAUCUGUACAAUGAAACUAAUAAUCAUUAAAAGUGGCCAUUCAUUUGCAAAUGAAUCACAUGUUUCAUUUAGUCCUUUUGUCAGAUAUGAUUCUAGUUGAAUCUUGACUUGUUUUCUGUGGGAUGUGUAAUACCAAACCCUAUGACCAGAUCAUGAUGAUAUGAAAAAAGGAUAAUAUCUUUAGUAGGGAUAGGAUCUUUCUGAGUAUUUGAAGAGGUUCACAUGCCUUGUCCAUUGCCACAGGUUCCAGAAGAAGAGAAAAACCUUGGUCCUCAAGAUCACUUGAUUCAUGUCUAUCACUUCACCAAAGAUGCAUCUCAAAAUCAGAUGGUUCAGAAUUUUGGGAACCCUUUUUCUUGAUCAUCCAUGAAGGUGAGACUUGAGAAGAGAUUAAAGUCUGUAUCCAGAAGAAGUUGCAGGUUCCAGACGAGGAAUUCUCCAAGACUUUUUGGUGGGCAUAUAGGGUCUAAUGCAACCUAUGCACUUCAGUUUUGGUGGUCAACGUAUGGUAGGUAAAAACUACUAGGAGUGCGUGCUGACCAUGUGACCAGCUCUAAGGUCAGGUGCAUCGUGCAAGAUUGAAGGGUGAGGAGGUUGUUAUUAAAGUACAAAGACCUGGUCUCAAGGAUCUUUUUGACAUUGAUCUGA